Molecule: long non-coding RNA, 809 nt
Organism: Acanthopagrus latus (yellowfin seabream)
Lineage: Eukaryota; Metazoa; Chordata; Actinopteri; Spariformes; Sparidae
Exons: 3
Source: RefSeq, a predicted model, not a curated record
CUUUGAUGGCGUUACAUUAAGAUGAGUCUUCUUCUAAUACGAUCUGAUUUCACUGCUGUCUCAAGGGAAUCAACAACAAAAUGCUGAUCGUGUUUUAUUCACUGCUGAUGCUCAGAGUCGGACGAUGCACAGAUGAUCUGAACUUUGGGAUACUGACUGUUGAAGUCAGAGAUUAGGUCACUCUGACCUGUGCCCACCAGGACUCUGGGCUCUCAACUCAGUUGUUUUGGAUCCGGCUGGUUUCUGGAAACAUGCCUGAAUCGUUAGGAAUAUUUAAUUUUGAUUUUGAUGGUGUGAACAAAACUCCUCGCGUUAAAGCAAAACAAGGCGAUGGAACAUUUCUCCUGUAUAUUAAUGAAGCACAGUUAAGUGAUACUGGACUUUACUACUGUGUAAAUGUAAAGAGCCUUGACAUGACAUUUGUGGAAGGAACAUUUCUGAGAAUUCAAGUUACCAGGACCAGAACCAGAUGUCACCGCCGUCAUUCAACUCCCUCCAUCUGAUCCGGUCCGUCCAGGAGACUCAGUGACUCUGCAGUGUUCAGUCCUCUCUGACUCCCAGAACAAAACAUGUCCAGGAGAUCACAGUGUGUUCUGGUUCAGAGACAGAUCAGAUGAAUCUAAUCCCAGUUUUAUUUACUCUCAUGGAAACAGUGGUGCUGAAUGUGAGACGAGUCUCAAGGCUUGAUCUCCACAGAAAUGUGUCUACAGCUUCCCUAAGAACGUCAGCUCCUCUGAUGCCGGGACUUAUUACUGCACUGUGGCCACAUGUGGAGAGAUUCUGUUUGGAAAUGGAACAAAACUGGACAU